CUACGGGGCGCAGCAGUGGGGAAUAUUGCACAAUGGGGGAAACCCUGAUGCAGCGACGCCGCGUGAGUGGUGAAGUAUUUCGGUAUGUAAAGCUCUAUCAGCAAGGAAGAUAAUGACGGUACUUGACUAAGAAGCCCCGGCUAACUACGUGCCAGCAGCCGCGGUAAUACGUAGGGGGCAAGCGUUAUCCGGAUUUACUGGGUGUAAAGGGAGCGUAGACGGUCUGGCAAGUCAGAUGUGAAAGCCCGGGGCUCAACCCCGGGACUGCAUUUGAAACUGUCCGACUAGAGUGCAGGAGAGGUAAGUGGAAUUCCUAGUGUAGCGGUGAAAUGCGUAGAUAUUAGGAGGAACACCAGUGGCGAAGGCGGCUUACUGGACUGUAACUGACGUUGAGGCUCGAAAGCGUGGGGAGCAAACAGGAUUAGAUACCCGGGUAGUC
This 439-nucleotide ribosomal RNA is filed under the name uncultured bacterium. Its description in RNAcentral is "partial 16S ribosomal RNA". It matches the Rfam family "Bacterial small subunit ribosomal RNA", at positions 339 to 795 of the family's 1533-position model. The record is from RNAcentral.